GCCACAGAUGCCUGCUGUACUGAGAAUGUGAUUCUCUCCCUAGGACCCACAAGAAGAAGGAUGCUAAUGAUGUUCCAAGUGUUGACGGUUCUCUGGCCCCAGGAGACAGCCUGGAAGAUUCUCGCUCUGUCACCCAGCCUGGAGUGCAGUGGUGUGAUCUCGGCUUGCUGCAACCUCCACCUCCCAGGUUCAAGUGAUUCUCCUGCCUCAGCCUCCAGAGUAGCUGAAAUUACAGGAACCUGCGUGUUUCAGAUAAGAUACCUCUUGGAUACCUCUUGAUUCACUCUUCUUCCUGCCACUGUGGUGAGGAUCAUUGAGUCUUUGACCAGCUUUAUGCAGCUUCCGAUUCCACAUGCGCCACUUCCACAGGGUCCCCCAGACCCUCGACCGUGAACUUCAGCAAUCAGACCUCUCUGCCCUCUGUGCACCGGCCCUGUUUAAACGCGGUUCCUGAGCCCUUGCUGCCAUUUCACAACUGGAGACUUCCCUUCUCCCACACCCUCCAUCGGUUCUGUUCACUGUCAACAACCCAGAAGCUUCCACUGGGAAACACGGUCUGCAUACCCAGAGCACGACAGUUAUCUUGCUCCAUGCCCCAGGGAGGGAUGAUUGAUGGAAGCCAAGGCCUGUUUCUUCCAAAGAGCUCUGCACACAAACAUAAGAAAAACCCAGUUGACUCUACAAAUACCAGCUCCAAUUCUUUCAUGUUGAGGCACACCUGUAGAGUGAUCCACAGUGCUUUUCUUUGCAAAAAAAAAAAAAAAAAAAAAACAAAAACAAACAAACAAACAAACAAAAAAAACUGGUAGUCCCCUGGAGCUAAGACUGAGCUGAGUGACUGGAAUCACUCUGAGGCUGAGAAGGGCUAAGAAGGAGGCAGUGAGCUUUGGGCAGGCUCCUUGCAUGGCCUUGCAGAAAGCAAGAGGACCUAGAAGGUGGGGAGGGAAAGUGGAGGCCAGAGGACAAGGCCCUGGGAAGGGGCAUGUGUGAGAGGUUUUCAGGGAAGAGCUAGGAAUGCGGCAGGUUGGGAUUGGGCAUGGGUGGGGACUGUUAGAUUUAGGGAUGCUACCCAAAUGCCAGGGGGAGGAAUCUGUUUCAACCCAGUGGCCAGUGGGUAGUUGGUGAAGAUUUUGUACCUUUAUAACUUAAUUUCUGUUAGAAGUAUUGCUCAGAAUCACUAUUUAUGCUGUGUUUUCAAAGAUUUACCACACUUAUGACUAUAAUGAUGUUACUUCUUGAGCCAUUUUUCUUCCUUGGAGAAACACAUACUCGAUUUCAUAAUGAAAAUCAAUGAGAAAGUACAAAUUUGUGCAAAUAAAUUCAAUGUACAGCUCAAUAUGCCUGGAUGUUACCUCCACCGUAUGAGAUAUGUCUGCACUGAUUCAUUGAACAUAAACCCUGGGGAAGGGGGCUCUUCCAGGCCUAUCCUGGCAUCUUCGAUUCCAACUCCAGCCUCUUGUCCCCAGCGAGCUUCCCCUAGCAGCCAGGACAGACAAUUACCUUUUCAAAACUUGAAUACUGUUAACAGCUCCCUUGUAACUUACCAACCCUCUCCUUGUCAUUUUAGACUUCGCUAUUCCAGUGAUAAAUAAUCUGAAUUUUUAAAAUGGAUUCUCAGAGGCUGUAUUUUAAUCUAUAUGCUUGUGCUUUAAAUCAAUAACCAAUAACCAAUUUAAGCUCAUUUAAGCCCUGUUAGCUGCCACAUAAUGUUGGUGUUCUGCUCGGCAUCAUAGCUAACAAUUUAUGUUAAAGGGUGCUCAGCUUAUUUUUUUUGAAGUUCUACAGCUGUCUGCUGCGUGACUGGAGAGCUGAUGACUUUGAGCUAUAGCAGCAUUCUCUCCAAGUUCAUUUCGAUACUGAAAACCAAAAUGAACUAUUAAAACUCAUUACCAUUUUUAUCUCUAAUGGUGCAGAUUCCAUUUUCUAUCAUUUUAUUCACAUCUGAAAAGCAAAUUGUAUUUGCAUAAGGAAGGGGGGGAUCUCUUGGAUUUUUUUUUCAUUCUUUUUCUAAAAAAUUAAGAAAAAAUAUACAUAAUGGUUUCUAGGAGGGGGAAAAGUGCCAUCCAAAUACAUCUGUUAAGAAAAUCAAAAUUCCAGAAGCUUGAUCUUAGGGACUAAACCUUUCUCUCCUCCCACCUCACCCUCAGCCCCAGCCAACAUCCAUCUGCUGAAGUCCUAACCCCAAGGACCUCAGACUGUGGCUGUAUUUGGAGACAGGGUCUUUGUAGAGGUAAUCAAGUUUAAAUGAGGUUAUUAGUGUGGACCCAAUCGGUGUCCUUCUAAGAAGAGGAGACUAGGGCACAGACAAACGCAGAGGCAUGACCACGUGAGGACACAGUGAGAAGAAGGCUACAUUCAAGCCCAAAAGGAAGGCAAGAAGCCGAUUCUCCCUCACAUCCCUCAGAAGGAACCAGCUCUGCCAGCAUUUUGAUCUGGGAUUUCUGGGCUUCAGAACCAUGAAACUAUGAAUUUCUCUGGUACUUUGUUAAAGGAACCCUAGCAAAGUAAGGCAUUUACAACAUGAAGGAAAUGACUGAAGUACUGAAGAUUUGUUCAUUGUAAUAAUAGCAGAUAUCAUUUAACAUUAUUUUCUAUUGCCAGAAAAUGUUCUAAAUGUGUUCAAAUAUUAUCUCAUUUAAUCCUCAAAAAUUUCCGUGAGGCGUUACUGUUAUCCCCAGUUUUGCAGGUAAGGAAACUCAUGGACAGGUUGCUGAGUCAUUGGUUCAAGGCUGUCACAUGAAUGGAGAGAAACCAGGCCGUCUCUACUCCAGAGUUGGUGCUCUGAACCAUGCCGUGGCACAUCACUCUGGAAUCUUGGAUUUUGCUGAGUGUGAAGUAAAAUUGUGUGCAAGCAACAAGCCUGGCUUCAUUAAGCCACCUUUACCUGGAAUACUCUUUUUUGCUAACACCUUCCUUCCAUAAAUUUCACCCAAGAAUAGCAAAGAUGAGCUAACGAGAAGGAGAAACGCCCACUAUGUGUUGGCUAUCUGCCUAUCCACCACCCCCAGGAUGGCCAACCACUGUUUCCAGAGAUGUUACUCAGGCUUCCAGUCCCAGGUAGGAGAGCUCAGAACUCACACAAAGCCCAGGGAUCUGGGAAAGGAAGGGCCUUCAGGAACCAGGGACUCACAUCAUCAGAAACGAAGCGGGCAGUGGUCCAGGGUUCAAGGCCAGGAUAUCCCAGCCAUCUGAGACAGACAGAAGCCUAGAAGACUUGAGUUCAGGGCCAGCAUUCUUCAUCCCCAGCCUCCAUGGAACUUAAUACUGAGUGUGGGUGGAGAAAGGGGAGCCACGGGCCCCUGAAAAACCUUGGCUCUAGGCUGGCAUCACAGGAGGAAAGGGGAGCCAGCCUGGUCCUGGGUGGCAUGAGUCACUUGAGGAGCCCCACAUUUCUCCUGCCACCCCACUGGGCCAAAAGGAGCUGCCUCUGCCUCCCCUUCUGCCAUUUGCAGAGUCAAGGUGACCAUUCCACCAGCUCUCGAAUACCAGGCUUCUAAGGGCUUCCAGUUAAUUUGUCAACACCUCCCAAGCACUUGCUGUGUCCCUGUCCUGUUCUCUGUGCUCCAUCCCACUCCCUCUAAAGUCUGUUUACACCCUUGCAAGGUGAGCAUUGCAUUAUGGUUCCUGUUUUAGAGAUGAGGAAACUGAGGCCCAGGGAGUAAAAUAAUGUGCCCAGGGACACACAGCCAGUAUUGAGACAAAGUACAAAUCUCAGUUUGACCCAAACUGAAAAUUACGAAUCAGUUCUGAUUGUAACUCCUGGGGCUAGUCCAGGAGAGUGAGGCACGCUGUCUUGUCCUGGGUGAGAGGUGUGGUUUCCUCUCCUGGUAAGAUGCUAUGUUUGAGAUUUAAUUCCCACAUAGGGCCAGAGCCAAGGGGAUGAAAACUGAGUAGAAAAGCAUUUCUGAUCAAAAGGACAUUUUGAAUCUCUAUUUCAUAACAUCAGAUAAGAGAUUUUCAAGGACAAAUACAAUUUUACGGAUAUUUCCUCAGAUAUGAUUAAGAAAGAGACAGAUUUCAGCACUCAGAUUUCCUGGGGCUGGCAUAGGCUGAAGACCAGGAAAACAAGACACUGUAUCUUAGCUCAAGUAAUGAACCCACAGGGACACUGUUUCCCCAUGCAGAAGGCAGACCAGUGAUUUGUCACGCUAUGCUCAGAUGAGAAUGUUUGAUAUGGUUUGGAUCUGUGUCCCCGCCAAGUCUCAUGUAGAAUUGUAAUCCCCAGUGUUGGAGGUAAAGCCUGGUGGGAAGUGAUUGGAUCAUGGGGGUGGAUUUCUCAUGAACGGUUUCUCACCAUCCCCGCUUGGUACUGUCGUUGCAAUAGUGAGUGAGUUCUCGUGAGAUCUGUUCAUUUGAAAGUGUGUGGCACCUCCCCCCUCUCUCUCUGGCUCCUGCUUUGGCCACAUAAGACAUGCCUGCUUCCCUUUCUGCCAUGAUUAUAAUUUUCCUGAGACUUCCCCAGAAGCCAAGCAGAUGCUAGCAUCAUGCUUCCUGUACAGCCUGCAGAACUAUGAUCCAAUUAAAGCUUUUUUCUUUGUAAAUUACUCAAUAUCAGGUAUUUCUUUAUAGCAAUGCAAGAACAGCCUCUUCCAAUGUUCUUAAUAAAAUUAAGAAGCUGCAGCUAUUAAGCACUUAGCAUGUGUCAGAUACACUGACACAAACAACAUUACUGUGGUGCAGAUUCAUUUGUUCCAUUUUACAGAGGAGGCAACUGAGAGGUAGAGAUUAGAGCGUUUGCCCCUAAGUGUGUGGCUGGGGAGAAGCAGAGCUAGGAUGUGAAUGCGUGUCUCUCCCUACAGAGUCUACAGACCUUUGGGCUAUUCUGCCUCCUUCACCAACUAUAAGAAGAGUGCAGAGCCGAAAUAAGAGGAAACCAUGGAAAUACAGAGACACUAUAUUCUCUACAGAGGUGGAAAGUCUUCAUCCCACUCCCCUCUGCCACAGUAGCAGGUGUUCACUUAGAGUUUAGGUCUCCAGCUUCCCUUGUGGCCAAAAAGGGCCAAGUGUGCAUGACAUGGGCUCAGAUUCCAAGCAUGUUUUCAAGGAAGCACAGCUCUCUGGUCUUUUCUUUCUUUCUUCCAGCUGAAAUGGAAGCAUCUAAAAUGGUGGCUUGAGCAGCCCUGGAGGACCACAGCAUCUGAGUGACAACUGGAGAGAUGCCCAGCAACAGAAGGGAGGUUUGGGUUCCCCACUUUUCACCCAGCACCAAGUGGGAGAGGAAAAAAUGAAUUGUUAUUUAGGCCAGUAUUGUUCAGGCAUCUCUUGUUUCCAGAAGUCAAGUCAGUAUCAAAUGCAUCAACAAAGACAUCUGAGACACCUCGAUAACUUCCUUUUUCCAUUUUUGAAAGUUGUGAGGCUCUCAUACGCAUGUAUAAAAUAGGGUGCCACUUUCCAAAGUGUAAGAGGAUUUGGAGCAGAAAAUGGUUUCCUAAGUUUGUCUCUUGAACCAGUCAAUAAAUCUGACAGCUGUCCCUGAAUUAUAGCUAAAAUGUUGGAUCUGCAGAGCACAGCAUCAUUCCUCAGAAGGAACGCACAUGUCUCCUGGAAGCCCAAGGCUCGAAACUUUUCUCCGUGGGUUUUUGGUUGUGAAUCAGACUUGCUCUUUCCGUCAUAAACUGCAAUGAUGAGGCUAUAAGAGAAGUAGGAGGAAAGUGUUUUGUUAGAACAAACAGGGAGGGAGAGAGCUUGAACAAAGAGAAGGAAUCACUCCCCAAAGAGGCAAACUCAGUGAGCGGAAUUGAUGGAGACGAUUGAAGAAGCCAGGGGUUAUGAUAAUUGCAAAAUGUCUUGUAGUUGUUUCCAUAACAAACAAUUUUGCCAGAGAGGGCUCAGAGGCACUGUGCAGCUUGGAGGAAUCAACUCAAGGAGUCUGAGAGCCUUGGAAACUGCCAUCCUUCUUUCAAUGCCGGAGUGCAUGCUGGGAGGGAUCAAAAUGGAGCGGACACUGGAAGAAAACUGAUCCAAAUCCCAUUCAGGCAAUCCCAGGGGACGACUCUGUUUUCAAGGCUAGCUCAGAAAUUUUCAGGAGAAAGGCGUUCACUUGCUGUCAAAGGGUAGCGGUCAGUGUUUCUUAACGUUUGUUUGUUUGUUUGUUUGUUUUUAGACAAGGUCUUGUUCUGUCACCCUGUGUGCGGUGCAGUGGCACAGUCUUGGCUCACUGCAGCCUCGACCUCCCGGCCUCAAGUGAUCUUCCCACCUCAGCCUCACGAAUACCUGGGACUACAGGUGUGCCACCACAUGUGGCUAAUUUUUGUAGUUUUUGUAGAGAUGUGGUUUUGCCAUGUUGCCCAGGCUAAUCUUGAACUUCUGAGUUCAAGUGAUCCGCCCAUCUCAGCUUCUCAAAGUGCUGGGAUUACAAGCAUGAGCCAGUGAGCCCAGCUGUGUUUCAGUGUUUCUACCGCAACCCAGGCAAAGGUAAAGACCACAUAAGUCAUAGAGAAGAUGGAGGCAUAUGAGAUCUGCUGGACAAUGAACUUCAGCAGGAGCAUAAACCAAAAUAGACUCAGGGAGGAAUGUUCUGGAAACUUUUGCACCUGUUCACUGGGAGACAUGUAUGAACAUAUUUUGUGUAACGUUUUUGCUUUUAGCAACAAAUGAGAACACUACAAAUAAGCAAUUCCAAGAGAAAGGAUACAGAAGUGUGUUGUAUUUACACUGUGGAAUAUUAAACAGCUGGGGAAAUGGAAGAAUUGCAGAUACACAAAUUAGCAGGCAUGAUUUAUGCUGAAACAAAAAAGAAGGUAAUUUACAGAAGGAUACAUACAGUCCAUUCUUGAAAAAUAUUCAUUUAUUGAGGGCCUACUGUGUGCUAGGCACUCUUCUAAGCACUGAGGAUGUCGUAGUGAACACAGUAGACACAUACAUACUCUUUGCCCUUAUAGAGCUUACAUUCUCAUGGGAAUAACACAGACAUAACUAAAUAGGUAGUCUAAUGAGGAUACGUGUUCUGUAGGCACAAGGGAGGAAGGCAGACAGGAAAGGGCAACACUUAAACUUCAGUCCCGAAGUCCUCAUGGAGAAGGCAACACGGCACCAAGACGUGCAAAGGGGAGAGAGUGGAAUAUGUGCCUGUCAGGGAGGUGCGAGUGUGAAGGCCCUGGGGUGGAAGCAUGCAGGGAAUGCUGUGACAACACCAAGGGCCAGCAGGUAGAUGCAGAGUGAGUGAGGCAGAAAGAAGCAGAAGCUGAAGUCUGGAGAUGAAGACCUGGACACUUAGAGGAUGGAGGAGGAGGACAGAUCUUAGAGAGCUGCACCAGCAAGAAACGUGGCUUUGACUCCAUGAUGGGAGGGUUUUCAGCAAAAGAGAGGGCAUGGGCAGAAGAUGAGAAACCGUGGAAAUUUAUUGUGAUUAACCAGGAGAGAGAUGACGGUGGUUUGGCUCAACAUGAGCACCUUACCUGGUGGAACGAUAAUUGGUUCAAAACGUGCAAAACUACACACAUAUUGCUUAUGGACACAUGGAUAUUUAGUAAUCCUCUAAAGAAAUUAAUGGAUGAAUAAAAGCCUGGGAAGCAGUUUAUCUAGGGGGUGGUGGUAGGGGAAGAGGAAGUUAAUAAGAAAGAGACAUACUUGAGGACACCCAUGGCCUGGGGACCAUCUUACUUUGGCAUGCAGGAAUUUCUUUCAAUAUUCUUUACUUGUCAUGUAUGUUGUAUACAGUCUUUUGUGCAUGUGAUAUUCACAAUUAAAAAUGACUGCCAUUAGUUGAAAUCUCUACAGUCUCUUUCAACACAGAAACUGUGUCUUUCUCGUCUUUCUUUCUAAAUUAUGAAUAUGUGAAUUCAUUUAUAAUCUUGGUCAUAAAACCAAGGAGCCAGGAAUUAGAAAAAUGCAAUAAAGUUAUCAGCCUCCCAAAGUGCU
Molecule: long non-coding RNA, 7860 nt
Filed under: Homo sapiens (human)
Lineage: Eukaryota; Metazoa; Chordata; Mammalia; Primates; Hominidae
Description: HSALNT0289970
Source: RNAcentral